GUAGGGAAUAUUGGACAAUGGGGGGAACCCUGAUCCAGCCAUGCCGCGUGGAGGAAGACUGCCCUCUGGGUUGUAAACUCCUUUUAUAUGGGAAGAACCGUCCUCAUUAAUGAGUGACCUGACAGUACCAUAGGAAUAAGCACCGGCUAACUCCGUGCCAGCAGCCGCGGUAAUACGGAGGGUGCAAGCGUUAUCCGGAUUCACUGGGUUUAAAGGGUGCGUAGGCGGAUAAAUAAGUCAGUGGUGAAAUCAACGGGCUCAACCUGUUAACUGCCAUUGAUACUGUGUAUCUUGAAUAUGAGAGAGGUAGGCGGAAUGUUGCAUGUAGCGGUGAAAUGCUUAGAUAUGCUACGGAACACCGAUUGCGAAGGCAGCUUACUAUUUCGUAAUUGACGCUGAGGCACGAAAGCGUGGGUAGCGAACAGGAUUAGAUACCCGAGUAGUCC
Molecule: ribosomal RNA, 446 nt
Filed under: uncultured bacterium
Lineage: Bacteria
Description: partial 16S ribosomal RNA
Rfam family: Bacterial small subunit ribosomal RNA
Source: RNAcentral